GAUGAACGCUGGCGGCGUGCCUAAUACAUGCAAGUCGAACGAACAGAUGCUGCGCUUGCUGGUCUGACGUUAGCGGCAGACGGGUGUGUAACACGUGGAUACCCUCCCUGUAAUUCUGGGAUAACUUCGGAAAACGGGAGAUAAUACCGGAUAAUCUAUUGCACCGCAUGGGUGAGUGGUGAAAGUCGGUUGUGGUGUCACGAAUAGCUGGAUACCCGCCUGUUUGUGGGGUUGUGGCUUACCAAGGUUUUGACGGGUACCCGGCCUGAGAGGGUGACCGGCCACAUUGGGACUGAGGUACGGCACAGACUCCUACGGGAGGCAGCAGUGGGAAAUAUUGCACAAUGGACGGAAGCCUGAUGCAGCAACGCCGCGUGCGGGAUAACGGCCUUCGGGUUGUAAACCGCUUUCGCCUGUGACGAAGCGUGAGUGACGGUAAUGGGUAAAGAAGCACAGGCUAACUACGUG
RNAcentral lists this ribosomal RNA (468 nucleotides) under uncultured bacterium. Its description in RNAcentral is "partial 16S ribosomal RNA". It matches the Rfam family "Bacterial small subunit ribosomal RNA", at positions 28 to 507 of the family's 1533-position model. The record is from RNAcentral.